This 253-nucleotide ribosomal RNA is filed under the name uncultured bacterium. RNAcentral describes it as "partial 16S ribosomal RNA". It matches the Rfam family "Bacterial small subunit ribosomal RNA", at positions 524 to 776 of the family's 1533-position model. The record is from RNAcentral.
UACAGAGGGUGCAAGCGUUGCUCGGAUUUACUGGGCGUAAAGCGUACGCAGACGGUGAGAAAGGUCGGAUGUGAAAGCCCCGGGCUCAACCCUGGAACUGCAUCCGAAACCAUCUCGCUAGAAUAUGAGAGAGGGAAGCAGAAUUCCUGGUGUAGAGGUGAAAUUCGUAGAUAUCAGGAGGAAUACCUGCGGCGAAGGCGGCUUCCUGGCUCAUUACUGACGUUCAGGUACGAAAGCGUGGGUAGCAAACAGG